UGGGGAAUUUUGGACAAUGGGCGAAAGCCUGAUCCAGCAAUGCCGCGUGUGUGAAGAAGGCCUUCGGGUUGUAAAGCACUUUUGUCCGGAAAGAAAUCCUUGGCUCUAAUACAGUCGGGGGAUGACGGUACCGGAAGAAUAAGCACCGGCUAACUACGUGCCAGCAGCCGCGGUAAUACGUAGGGUGCAAGCGUUAAUCGGAAUUACUGGGCGUAAAGCGUGCGCAGGCGGUUUGCUAAGACCGAUGUGAAAUCCCCGGGCUCAACCUGGGAACUGCAUUGGUGACUGGCAGGCUAGAGUAUGGCAGAGGGGGGUAGAAUUCCACGUGCAGCAGUGAAAUGCGUAGAGAUGUGGAGGAAUACCGAUGGCGAAGGCAGCCCCCUGGGCCAAUACUGACGCUCAUGCACGAAAGCGUGGGGAGCAAAACAGGAUUAGAUACCCUGGUAGUCCACGCCCUAAAACGAUGUCAACUAGUUGUUGGGGAUUCAUUUCCUUAGUAACGUAGCUAACGCGUGAAGUUGACCGCCUGGGGAGUACGGUCGCAAGAUUAAAACUCAAAGGGAAUUGACGGGGUCAUAGCUGUUUCCU
This 588-nucleotide ribosomal RNA is filed under the name uncultured bacterium. RNAcentral's name for it is "partial 16S ribosomal RNA". It matches the Rfam family "Bacterial small subunit ribosomal RNA", at positions 355 to 1375 of the family's 1533-position model. The record is from RNAcentral.